RNAcentral lists this ribosomal RNA (405 nucleotides) under uncultured bacterium. Its description in RNAcentral is "partial 16S ribosomal RNA". It matches the Rfam family "Bacterial small subunit ribosomal RNA", at positions 28 to 526 of the family's 1533-position model. The record is from RNAcentral.
GACGAACGCUGGCGGCGUGCUUAACACAUGCAAGUCGAGCGGAGCGGCGAACGGGUGAGUAACGCGUGAGUAACUGCCCCCCUCUCUGGGAUAACAGUUGGAAACGGCUGCUAAUCCCGGAUAGUGGGGGAUGACUCGCGUCCUAUCAGCUUGUUGGUGGGGUAGUGGCCGACCAAGGCGACGACGGGUAGCCGGCCUGAGAGGGCGAACGGCCACAUUGGGCUGAGAUACGGACCAAACGCCGACGGGAGGCAGCAGGGGGGAAUAUUGCAGAAGGGGGGAAACCCUGAUGCAGAAACGCCGCGGGAGGGAGGACGGCCGUCGGGUUGUAAACAGAUGUCAGCCAUGACGCGGUAGUGGAAGAAGAAGCACCGGCUAACUACGUGCCAGCAGCCGCGGUAAUUC